AACCUUAUGGACCUGCGGGCGUAUACCUGCGGAGGGAUCAUUACCGAGUUAGGGUGCUCUUGAAGCGCCCGACCUCCCAACCCUUUGUCUAUGAUACCUUCUAGUUGCUUCGGCGUGCCGAGGGGUCGUACCCUCGCCGGAUCUCUGAUCUGAGCGUGCCCGCCGAUGGCCUCAACUUAAACAUUUGAACCCAAAACCUGUCGUCUGAAACAUUUGUGAUUACUACAAUCAAAAACAAAA
This 240-nucleotide unclassified non-coding RNA is filed under the name soil metagenome. RNAcentral describes it as "partial contains 5.8S ribosomal RNA, internal transcribed spacer 2, and large subunit ribosomal RNA". The record is from RNAcentral.